CCCUUAGAUGUUCUGGGCUGCACGCGCGCUACACUGAUGCGCUCAACGAGUUUAUGACCUUGCCCGGAAGGGUUGGGUAAUCUUUUUAAAACGCAUCGUGAUGGGGAUAGAUUAUUGCAAUUAUUAAUCUUCAACGAGGAAUUCCUAGUAAGCGCGAGUCAUCAGCUCGUGCUGAUUACGUCCCUGCCCUUUGUACACACCGCCCGUCGCUACUACCGAUUGAAUGGUUUAGUGAGGACUCCUGAUUGGCGCCGCCGCCCCGGCAACGGAGCAGCGGACUGCCGAAAAGUUGUUCAAACUUGAUCAUUUAGAGGAAGUAAAAGUCGUAACA
Molecule: ribosomal RNA, 331 nt
Filed under: uncultured eukaryote
Lineage: Eukaryota
Description: partial 18S ribosomal RNA
Rfam family: Eukaryotic small subunit ribosomal RNA
Source: RNAcentral